Non-coding RNA from Paramormyrops kingsleyae, 1194 nucleotides. The record is from RefSeq and is a predicted model, not a curated record. NCBI's taxonomy places the organism in Eukaryota, Metazoa, Chordata, Actinopteri, Osteoglossiformes, Mormyridae.
AACCGUACGGCUGAUACCGUAAUGUCAUGUCUAUGCGUGCACAAAACAUUUUAAGCGCGGAUGAUUUGACCAUGUUUCGGCAAAGUGCGGAUAGCUUGACCGCAGUAAUUUACAUGAGCUGUCUAUAGAUCGUUUAAGAUCGGAAUUUUUCAUACAAAACAAUUUGGUUUCGCGCUGUCAGUUUAUUAAAAGUAGAGAAGAAAACAUUCAAACGGUUUCCAAAUGUUAUGAAGUAUCUAUAAAAAUCUUCACUUAGACGCGAUUAUUUUUUCCCGGCAACAUCGGUAAUAUUUACUUCUUUGGAAAUGUACCAUUUUGCGGAAUUUCGAAACGUCAUUAGGAAUUGACGUGCGUAACCCAUAGUGCACUGCGGUAAACCCGUUUUCUCGCUAUAUAUAUAUAACUGAAGCAUCGCGGAUGAGAAAUGGAUCGUUUCUUGAUUAAAACUGGCACAACAGGCCCUGGAAAAACUGAAAAUGAGGACAAGAAAAUAAAAACAAAAGCUAAAAGGGACCAAAGAAAAUCCUCUCCAGCUGUCCCACAACAUCCUCUGCACCUCUCAGGAGAACAAAAUGUUCCUUCGAAAACUCGGUUACCCACAGGGCAACUUAUACCAAGUCAAUGCACACCAACAGAGAGGAUCCUUCUGCAAAUGUUGGGGGAGUUGCAGAGCCAGGUCCAACACCUGACACAGAUUGUUACCCAAAGACCUCCCUUUUUGGGUAACGGUCCUGCAGAGACACCAUUAACAACGGCAAGUGCACUGUACAAAAUUGCUUUAUGAUCUAUUUUAAUUAAAUUAUUUUAGAUUGAUUUUGGAAAUGUUAAUUUUUUUCCUAGUCUAAAUAAUAAAGUUUCAAGGUGUAGUUAAGUUUAUAUUUCAUACCAAUUGUAUUUCUAAGUGAAUUACUAUUAACUCAAUUACAGAGAUUUUAAAAAUACUUUGAACUUUAAAUAAUUUAAUCUUUUGAUUUAGAUCAGCGGUUCCCAAACUAGGGUACGCGUACCCUCUGGGGUACGCAAGAGGCUGAGGGGGUACGCGAGGGAGCGGGGGGAAUCACGAAUUCGAACAACGAGACAGUCAGUAAUUCUCACAAUAACGGAGUCGGUGACCUCCAAAAACACAACAUACAGUCGUGUUUAUGUCAUAUGUUUUUGUGCUUAUUAAAUUUAAGUGUUUUCCAAAGAUUAAUC